This 329-nucleotide unclassified non-coding RNA is filed under the name soil metagenome. RNAcentral describes it as "partial contains 5.8S ribosomal RNA, internal transcribed spacer 2, and large subunit ribosomal RNA". The stretch from base 1 to 120 matches the Rfam family "5.8S ribosomal RNA", at positions 35 to 154 of the family's 154-position model. The record is from RNAcentral.
GAUGAAGAACGUAGCGAAAUGCGAUAAGUAAUGUGAAUUGCAGAAUUCAGUGAAUCAUCGAAUCUUUGAACGCACAUUGCGCCCCCUGGUAUUCCGGGGGGCAUGCCUGUUCGAGCGUCAUUACAACCCUCAAGCUCUGCUUGGUAUUGGGCCCCGCCAGUUCUGGCGGGCCCUAAAGUCAGGGGCGGUGCCUUCCGGCUCCGAGCGUAGUAAUUCUUCUCGCUCUGGAGACCCGGUUGUGUGCUUGCCAACAACCCCCAAUUUUUUAAGGUUGACCUCGGAUCAGGUAGGGAUACCCGCUGAACUUAAGCAUAUCAAUAAGCGGAGGA